AAUUAAAAUUUUCAUCAAUUUUUACUAUUAAAAACUGGCAUAGCUGACAGAAUAACCAAACAGUUACACUUAGCGCGCCAUAUGUUACUCAUGUCAACGUAUAGGGACCAAUUUUUAAUAGUGGAAAAUGGAUGAAAGUUUUAACA
This is a non-coding RNA of Gossypium hirsutum (cotton), 146 nucleotides long. The record is from Rfam. Lineage: Eukaryota; Viridiplantae; Streptophyta; Magnoliopsida; Malvales; Malvaceae.